Molecule: long non-coding RNA, 1493 nt
Organism: Ornithodoros turicata
Lineage: Eukaryota; Metazoa; Arthropoda; Arachnida; Ixodida; Argasidae
Exons: 5
Source: RefSeq, a predicted model, not a curated record
AGACUAUAGACGCCUUAGUGUGAGAUCAAGGGACUCCAGACAUCUGCAGGAGGCUUCAGGUGACUCCAGCCGUCUCCAAGUGACUUCAGAUGGCUUGACGUGGCCCCAGACGUCUUCAGUUAACUUCGAGUGGCUUGAGGGGACUUCAGAUGACUCCAGAUGUCUUCAAGUGACUUCAGAUGACUCCAGAUGUCUUCAAGUGACUUCAAAUGACUUCAGAUGACUUCAUGUGGUUCUAGACGUCUUCAGGUGACUUCGAGUGACUUCAGGUGACCUCAAGAGACUAUAGACGCCUUCGUGUGAGAUCAGCGGACUCCAGACAUCUGCAGGAGGCAUCAGGUGACUCCAGCCGUCUCCAGGUGACUUCAGAUGGCUUGACGUGGCCCCAGACGUCUUCAGUUAACUUGGAGUGGCUUGAGGGGACUUCAGAUGACUCCAGAUGUCUUCAAGUGACUUCAGAUGACUCCAGAUGUCUUCGAGUGACUUCAAAUGACUUCAGGUGACUCCAGAUGUCUUCAUGUGGCUCUAGACGUCUUCAGGUAACUUCGAGUGGCUUCAGGGGACUUCGGAUGUCUUCACGUGACUUCAGGUGGCUCUAGACGUCUUCGGGUGACUUCGGGUGACUUCAGGUGACUCCAGAUGUAUUCAAGUGACUUCAGGAGACUUCAGUCCUCAUCAGGUGACCUCAAGAGACUAUAGACGCCUUCGUGUGAGAUCAGCGGACUCCAGACAUCUGCAGGAGGCAUCAGGUGACUCCAGCCGUCUCCAGGUGACUUCAGAUGGCUUGACGUGGCCCCAGACGUCUUCAGUUAACUUGGAGUGGCUUGAGGGGACUUCAGAUGACUCCAGAUGUCUUCAAGUGACUUCAGAUGUCUUCAAGUGACUUCAGAUGACUCCAGAUGUCUUCGAGUGACUUCAAAUGACUUCAGGUGACUCCAGAUGUCUUCAUGUGGCUCUAGACGUCUUCAGGUAACUUCGAGUGGCUUUAGGGGACUUCGGAUGUCUUCAUGUGACUUCAGGUGGCUCUAGACGUCUUCAGGUGACUUCGAGUGACUUCAGGUGACUCCAGAUGUAUUCAAGUGACUUCAGGAGACUUCAGUCCUCAUCAGGUGACCUCAAGAGACUAUAGACGCCUUCGUGUGAGAUCAGCGGACUCCAGACAUCUGCAGGAGGCAUCAGGUGACUCCAGCCGUCUCCAGGUGACUUCAGAUGGCUUGACGUGGCCCCAGACGUCUUCAGUUAACUUGGAGUGGUUUGAGGGGACUUCAGAUGACUCCAGAUGUCUUCAAGUGACUUCAGAUGUCUUCAAGUGACUUCAGAUGACUCCAGAUGUCUUCGAGUGACUUCAAAUGACUUCAGGUGUCUUCAUGUGGCUCUAGACGUCUUCAGGUAACUUCGAGUGGCUUCAGGGGACUUCGGAUGUCUUCAUGUGACUUCAGGUGGCUCUAGACGUCUUCAGGUGACUUCGAGUGACUUCAGGUGACUCCAGAUGU